Molecule: long non-coding RNA, 396 nt
Filed under: Aotus nancymaae (Ma's night monkey)
Lineage: Eukaryota; Metazoa; Chordata; Mammalia; Primates; Aotidae
Description: lncRNA (ENSANAG00000039110.1)
Source: RNAcentral
CGGGGAGGUAGCGGUCUGUUUUUUAAGAGGAAAUCUUUGCGACCAGUAGGUCCAAGCUGGCUCAAAGAAGUUGCUUGCACAGGGGAAUCGAGGGUGGACUAGCUGUGUGGGUGUGGCUUAAUUCUGCUGUUUCUCUUUUGGAUGAGACCUUACACUUUUUGCUUUGCCUUCGUUAACGCUCGGUUCCUCCCACAUCUUUGGCUUCUCUCUGUGAAAUCCCUGCCACCUACAGAUUCCUUUUAUUAUCCCAUACUGGCUGCGACUAGUCUUAAAUACCCUGUUUCCGCUCUCUUUCUCACACGCAGUUCCUGGAAUCUACAUCCCUCUCUCCCUCGGAUGUCUGGACUCACUUUGGAUAACCCAGACCUUUUCUGCUUCAAGUGUCCCACUGGAUAG